GCUACUUCUAGCCCAAUCACCACUUCACACAACUAAGUAUUCCCUUCAAACAAAACAUUUACCAUUAUUAAAGUAUAGGCGAUAGAAAUAUGUUUCAGGAGCUAUAGAGAUAGUACCGCAAGGGAAAGAUGAAAGAUUAGUCAAUAGCAUCGAAAAAGCAAAGAUUAAUCCUUGUACCUUUUGCAUAAUGAACUAGCCAGAAACUACUUGGCAAAAAGAAUUUUAGUCAGAGACCCCGAAACUAGACGAGCUAUCUACGAGCAGUUUUUAGAACGAACCCGUCUAUGUGGCAAAAUAGUGGGACGACUUGCAGAUAGAGGUGAAAAGCCAAACGAGCCUAGUGAUAGCUGGUUGUCCAAAUAAGAAUCUUAGUUCAACUUUAUGUUUACCCUCAGAAACCUCAAUCCACAUGUAAACAUAAAACUUAGUCUAAGGGGGGACAGCCCCUUAGAGCCAGGAUACAACCUGAGUUGGAGAGUAAAUAAACUCACUACCAUUGUUGGCCUAAAAGCAGCCACCAAUUAAGAAAGCGUUAAAGCUCGACAUCCACCCGCAAACCCAAUUCCACGCUAUAUCAUAAACUCCCAACAUAUAAUACUGGACUAAUCUAUAUACCUAUAGAAGCAAUACUGCUAGUAUGAGUAACAAGAACCCCUUUCUCCUUGCACAAGCCUAUAUCAGAUCGCAUGCACGCUGAUAGUUACCACCCCUACGUAAACACGCCACACCUUAAACCUACGUAACUUUUUAUUGUUGACCCGACACAGGAGUGCAUUUAAGGAAAGAUUAAAAGGAGUGGAAGGAACUCGGCAAACCCUAGCCCCGCCUGUUUACCAAAAACAUCACCUCUAGCAUCACAAGUAUUAGAGGCACUGCCUGCCCAGUGACGCAAGUUCAACGGCCGCGGUAUCCUGACCGUGCAAAGGUAGCAUAAUCAUUUGUUCCUUAAUUAGGGACUUGUAUGAAUGGCAACACGAGGGCUUAACUGUCUCCCACCCCAAAUCAGUGAAAUUGACCUCUCCGUGAAGAGGCGGAGAUAACGCAAUAAGACGAGAAGACCCUAUGGAGCUUUAAUUUACUGGUUUACACAAAAUAAAUAUUACUCUACAGGAGCCCAACAAACUAUGUUCCUAAGCCAGAAAUUUUGGUUGGGGUGACCUCGGAGCAUAAAACAACCUCCGAAUGUAUACAGCCAUGACCAACAUGUCUAAGCAACUAAACUACUAAAUGACCCAAUUUAUUGAUCAAUGGAACAAGUUACCCUAGGGAUAACAGCGCAAUCCUAUUCUAGAGUCCAUAUCGACAAUAGGGUUUACGACCUCGAUGUUGGAUCAGGACAUCCAAAUGGUGCAACCGCUAUUAAUGGUUCGUUUGUUCAACGAUUAAAGUCCUACGUGAUCUGAGUUCAGACCGGAGUAAUCCAGGUCGGUUUCUAUCUAUUUUCUUACUUCUCCCAGUACGAAAGGACAAGAGAAGUAGAGCCUACUGUACUACAGCGCUCUAAGUCCAAUAGAUGAAAUAAUCUCAAUCUAAUAAUCUACCCCCACCCUGCCCAAGACCAGGGUUU
This 1567-nucleotide ribosomal RNA is filed under the name Ochotona pusilla (steppe pika). RNAcentral's name for it is "16S ribosomal RNA". It matches the Rfam family "Bacterial large subunit ribosomal RNA". Lineage: Eukaryota; Metazoa; Chordata; Mammalia; Lagomorpha; Ochotonidae. The record is from RNAcentral.